This 77-nucleotide transfer RNA is filed under the name Desulfurobacterium sp. Its description in RNAcentral is "tRNA-Met". It matches the Rfam family "tRNA". Rfam says of the family: Transfer RNA (tRNA) molecules are approximately 80 nucleotides in length. Their secondary structure includes four short double-helical elements and three loops (D, anti-codon, and T loops). Further hydrogen bonds mediate the characteristic L-shaped molecular structure. tRNAs have two regions of fundamental functional importance: the anti-codon, which is responsible for specific mRNA codon recognition, and the 3' end, to which the tRNAs corresponding amino acid is attached (by aminoacyl-tRNA synthetases). tRNAs cope with the degeneracy of the genetic code in two manners: having more than one tRNA (with a specific anti-codon) for a particular amino acid; and 'wobble' base-pairing, i.e. permitting non-standard base-pairing at the 3rd anti-codon position. Lineage: Bacteria; Pseudomonadati; Aquificota; Aquificia; Desulfurobacteriales; Desulfurobacteriaceae. The record is from RNAcentral.
GGGCCUGUAGCUCAGUUGGUUAGAGCAGCCGGCUCAUAACCGGCCGGUCGGAGGUUCGAGUCCUCCCGGGCCCACCA